GGGGUAAAGGGGGGCAUGAUGCCCCCCUCUGCU
RNAcentral lists this non-coding RNA (33 nucleotides) under Geobacter sulfurreducens PCA. Lineage: Bacteria; Pseudomonadati; Thermodesulfobacteriota; Desulfuromonadia; Geobacterales; Geobacteraceae. The record is from RNAcentral.